GGGCAAUUGGUCUAGGGGUAUGAUUUUCGCUUCGCAUUGUUGAGAAUAGCUUUCGAUGCGCCUUUGUGAAAGGUCACCGGUUCGAAUCCGGUAUUGUCCA
This 100-nucleotide transfer RNA is filed under the name Neurospora crassa. RNAcentral describes it as "tRNA-Ala". It matches the Rfam family "tRNA". From Rfam's summary of the family: Transfer RNA (tRNA) molecules are approximately 80 nucleotides in length. Their secondary structure includes four short double-helical elements and three loops (D, anti-codon, and T loops). Further hydrogen bonds mediate the characteristic L-shaped molecular structure. tRNAs have two regions of fundamental functional importance: the anti-codon, which is responsible for specific mRNA codon recognition, and the 3' end, to which the tRNAs corresponding amino acid is attached (by aminoacyl-tRNA synthetases). tRNAs cope with the degeneracy of the genetic code in two manners: having more than one tRNA (with a specific anti-codon) for a particular amino acid; and 'wobble' base-pairing, i.e. permitting non-standard base-pairing at the 3rd anti-codon position. RNAcentral also lists the same sequence under 1 other name. The record is from RNAcentral. Lineage: Eukaryota; Fungi; Ascomycota; Sordariomycetes; Sordariales; Sordariaceae.